Molecule: long non-coding RNA, 1118 nt
Filed under: Homo sapiens (human)
Lineage: Eukaryota; Metazoa; Chordata; Mammalia; Primates; Hominidae
Description: HSALNT0369617
Source: RNAcentral
AGACCCGGUGAGAGGUACUGGGCGAUGAGGAAGUACAGCUCCAACUCCAUGAGAGGCACCGGGCCUCAGAACCAGGAAGAUCCGGAUAAAGACACUGUCUGCACUCUACUCAGAUGCCCUUUGAGUCUAUGCGCUGUUUCUGGGCUCAUCCUCCAGCCUCAACGUGUUUGCUGAGAAGAAAAAGAGACAUUAUGUCAUUCUUCUGAUUGUGAAUUUAAUUAAAAUCCUGAUUCCUGGAUGGUAUCGUGGGCCUAUUGAAUGAGAAUCUCUGGAGCUAGAACUGGAAAUCUGCAUUUUAACAAAUAAGUCUGGUGAUUUUUAGCAUUCUAACAUUGGAGAACUACUGGUGCUGGAGAGUUCAGAUGACCAAUGGUGAAUUUUAUCUCACAUUACUAGCUUCUUCAGUUUUCUUCCCCUCAGUGCUCAGGUACUCAAUUUGCAUAAUAUUAGAUUGUACUCUUUAUAUAUUGGUUCAGAAAGGUUUUUAAGUGUGUGCUGUGAAUCUGAAGCUAGAUGGAAACUCACUCAAAGCAGGAAUUGUAAUACCCGGUUUUUGUUUUUUUAAUCUCCUUAGACAACUUUGCAUAGUGCAACAAAGUUAUUGACUCAUAGAGAUUCAAAGUACCAAAGAAAAUGAGAUACUUAAUAUUUUAAAAAUAUAAGCCUAUUUUCUGUAUGAGAAAAUGGAGGUAGAGUUUUAAAGUCUUUCAAAGUUUGUCAGGUUUCAUGGUUUUUGAUUUAUUAUUUUUUGAGGUUUUGGAUGAUGAACCUUGACUGAUACUACUCCAGUGAUAUUUUUAAAAGUAUUUUUAUAAGAUGUUUUAGAGGUGUCUCUUUUGUAGGAAAGAGACAUGAGAUAGUAAAUUAGAAUUUUUAUUUAAUUUAAUCCAAGAAUUUGAGACAGUACCUCUUCACAGAGAAUCAAAAAAUAGCUUGAUUUAAUCUGCAGUGUACCUAUCUCUGUGCUUAAAACUGUGGAUCUAUUUCAAUGGAAUGGAACACGAUCCUUAUCCUUGAAGAACUUAACUGUAUUUUACUUGCACUUAAUUUUUGGCAUUGUUUUACAUGUUACUUCAUAUAAUUUUACACUCUAUAAUUAUAUUUCUGGAACAUUUGCA